AGCUGUGCCUCACCUCAGAGACAGACAGGUAUCUGACAUCUAAGCAACUGAAGUGGGAUUCAAAUUGAAGUAGAAGCUGCAGCUGCAGAGAUGUAUACUAUCAUGUCCAUCAAAGAUGCCAAGAUCUACGUUGUCUUACUGGUGUUCAUCAGCGUCUUUGUGGAGAAAGGGCAGUCAGACUUAUCAACAGAAAAUGUGAAAAAGAUUAUUGAAGACACAAUAUACAAAAGGUUCAAGCCUGAAGAGUUGAAAAUAAUGAUAGCAAACAAAGCAGAAGGCACAAGCGGAAGACAGCCCAAGGGCGAGCAGUUCACAAUGGCGCUCAGGCUUACAACAAAGGAAUGUGACAGUGGGGAGCUAGAGGAAAGACACAAUCUCAAACAGGUUAUGGACGACAUGGUAAAUGGUGCUGUGGGCAACAAUGAUUGGGUCACUGCAGCUAUUCCUGAGUUCAACAUCGGUCAUGACAGCCAUUCAGAAUAUCGCGUACUGGAGAAACUGAAAUCCAAUUUACAAAAAGAUUCUAAUAUAGAGUGUUUGAUACUCUACACACACAACAGUCCUUGUACUGAUAAAUGCCUGAAAGACAGCCAUUCUUUCAACAUUAUCAAACAACUGAAUGAUGUUUUCUCAAAAGUAAAAUCAACAUAUAGUGCAUUAGUCUUCGACCAUAUUUAUUAUGUAGACAUAGAAAAAAUUAAAGAGGACGUUUUUAAUUCCCUGAAAAACAUUCAUAUACCAACUUAUUGCUGCUACCACACUAAAAAUAUUGGAUAUUACUGUGCAUUGCUUGACACUAGCAAACAAGACAUAUUUCAAAUAUGUUUAAAUGAGAUAUCAAAGUAAUGACACCAAUGAUAAACCCCUGAGAAAAAUGAAUAAAGAGCACAAUAGAUUUUUUUCUGUUGUUACAAAAACCACAACAUUUAUACAAAUGUUUGGCUGUCAUCACUCAUCACUGAAUUGGGAUGCUAAUGUUAGCAGUACAUGAAUGUUGGUUGUAAUUAUUUAGGCUGUUCUGUAUCCCCCCAUUCUCUCGUUUCAAUGUGCUUUCUGUCUUCUGAAUAUUGAUAAACAUUCUGAAACUGUAUAAUGUAGUGUUUCAUUUCAAACUAUUUCUGCCUGAUGCCAGCAGGAGGUUGUUAGUCUGUUGUUUUAUUAUACUGUAUAAAUCUGUUUCCACUCGCUUAUGAUAUCAUUACUGUGAUCUACAACUUUAUGACGUAUGAGUUAUUUGCUGUUAUUAAACCAUUCUCUCUUGGAUGUAAUGAAGGAUGUUGUCUGUGAUAAGUGCUUUCCCUUCGUUAUGUUCAGUCUCAAGUGUGAAUAGAAGCCCAUUAACGUGGAGACAUCUUUACAGCAGUGGUCUGUGAAAGCAUUUUACUCGGCAGGAGCUGCUCAUCGUGGAUCAUUCCAGCUGGUAGUUCAUAUUCAAUCCAUAAAAAGUUGAGUUGUCGAGGGGCUGAAUGGUCAAGUUCCCAGUUUUCACACUCUGUUAUAAUUGAUGCAUCUGGAGUAUGCUAUUUAGUCACUGAGAGACAGCUGGGCCAGACAGGACCGGCGCCAGGCAUAAGACAUUUUUUGUUGUUGUAGGUACUCAGUCGGUGUCUCAACUUACUGUUCUCUCUUAGGGCCCCCAAAAGGCUAGAACUGGCCCUGGGGCCAGAGAAUAAUUUGUAUUGGAUAUUCACCUUCAGGAAAAUGUCAAAACAUCAACAAACCCAAAGCAGACAUAUGGAAAAGAACACCAAUUAUUUUAUUUUUAACACCUACGUUUACUUCUUUAUGUUUAUUUUAAUAUGGGAAAUAACUGGAAAAAAUGAAAAUAUUGAAUAUGUGCUGAAUAAAAGCGUAAUAUGGUUAAUAAUAGGGUUAAAAUUAUAUGUCAAAGAAAAUGUAAUGAAACACAAACUGCCUCCUCAAAACAAAUUGUCACUGUUACCUUAGAUUGAGUUGAUUUUCAUAUCGACUGGCCUUUCAGGUUUAUAA
Long non-coding RNA from Oncorhynchus gorbuscha (pink salmon), 1989 nucleotides. RefSeq lists it as uncharacterized. NCBI's taxonomy places the organism in Eukaryota, Metazoa, Chordata, Actinopteri, Salmoniformes, Salmonidae. The record is from RefSeq and is a predicted model, not a curated record. The transcript is spliced from 4 exons.